GCAAAAUAAAUUAUGCAGACAGUAAAACUGUGGGUUUAAGGGAAAAGACAGCUCACUGUGGUCUAAAUUGUUCUGGUAAAGUUCAAUUAAAAUGUAUUAAAUUACCCUCAGCUUCAUCCUCAUGAAUUGAGUUGAUAGACCUUUAAAAUUUGUGUUAUAUGGUGAUGAUAAAGGCACAGAGGUAACUUAUCAACAAUGCUUUGUUUAGAAGUGAGAAGUUCUCUCACAUGAAAGUUUCUGAAAAUGUUAUCCUUUCUUUAAUGUGAAGAUGUCAGUAUGUUUUAUUGAUUUAUGCUUUUGUAUUUAUUGUUCUUUUAGUGUGGAAAUGGGCACCUUUGACUGAACCAUGUUUCUUGCUCGGUAUUGAAAAAUGACCUCAUUCCUUUAUCUGUGUAUCAGCUGUCAAUCUGCUACGCUGGUCUCCAGGAAUCUAGUCAGAUUCAAACCUGCUCCAUGUGUUUCAUCAUUCUGGAACCUGGGACCUGGAAGUGCUCUUCUUAUGAAGAUCACAGGAAAGCAGAUGAGUAAACCAAACUGUGCAAGCACACUUAAGCUCUCUGCUGCAACAUGUUUGCUAAUACUCAAUUCAAUAUUAUUGAAAACGAGUAAGGAAACAACAUGA
This 622-nucleotide long non-coding RNA is filed under the name Macaca mulatta (Rhesus monkey). RNAcentral describes it as "lncRNA (ENSMMUG00000053600.1)". Lineage: Eukaryota; Metazoa; Chordata; Mammalia; Primates; Cercopithecidae. The record is from RNAcentral.